UACGUAGGGUGCGAGCGUUGUCCGGAAUUAUUGGGCGUAAAGAGCUUGUAGGCGGUUUGUCGCGUCUGCUGUGAAAUCUCAAGGCUCAACCUUGAGCUUGCAGUGGGUACGGGCAGACUAGAGUGUGGUAGGGGAGAUUGGAAUUCCUGGUGUAGCGGUGAAAUGCGCAGAUAUCAGGAGGAACACCGAUGGCGAAGGCAGGUCUCUGGGCCACUACUGACGCUGAGAAGCGAAAGCAUGGGGAGCGAACAGG
This 253-nucleotide ribosomal RNA is filed under the name uncultured bacterium. RNAcentral's name for it is "partial 16S ribosomal RNA". It matches the Rfam family "Bacterial small subunit ribosomal RNA", at positions 524 to 776 of the family's 1533-position model. The record is from RNAcentral.